RNAcentral lists this microRNA (22 nucleotides) under Dasypus novemcinctus (nine-banded armadillo). RNAcentral's name for it is "dno-miR-450c-3p". Its record names the gene dno-miR-450c-3p. The record is from miRBase by way of RNAcentral. Lineage: Eukaryota; Metazoa; Chordata; Mammalia; Cingulata; Dasypodidae.
AUUGGGAAUAUUUUGCAUCCAU